UCUCCGUAGGUGAACCUGCGGAGGGAUCAUUACAGAGUUCAUGCCCUACCGGGUAGAUCUCCCACCCUAUGUUAUUAUUACUUUGUUGCUUUGGCGGGCCGUGAGGCUCCGGCCCGACUACCGGCCCCGGCUGGUAAGCGCCCGCCAGAGGACCCAAAACCCUGAAUAUUAGUGUCGUCUGAGUACUAUAUAAUAGUUAAAACUUUCAACAACGGAUCUCUUGGUUCUCGCAUCGAUGAAGAACACAGC
RNAcentral lists this unclassified non-coding RNA (249 nucleotides) under plant metagenome. RNAcentral's name for it is "partial contains small subunit ribosomal RNA, internal transcribed spacer 1, and 5.8S ribosomal RNA". The stretch from base 201 to 249 matches the Rfam family "5.8S ribosomal RNA", at positions 1 to 49 of the family's 154-position model. The record is from RNAcentral.